UAAUAACUUUUUAGUUAGACCUCAAAUCAGGUAGGACUACCCGCUGAACUUAAGCAUAUCAAUAAGCGGAGGGAAAGAAACUAACAAGGAUUCCCCUAGUAGCGGCGAGCGAACCGGGAAGAGCUCAAAUUUAAAAUCUGGCGUCUUUCAGGCGUCCGAGUUGUAAUCUACAGAAGUGUUUUCCGUGCCGGACCGUGUCCAAGUCCCUUGGAAUAGGGUAUCAAAGAGGGUGACA
RNAcentral lists this ribosomal RNA (235 nucleotides) under Hannaella zeae. RNAcentral's name for it is "partial 26S ribosomal RNA". It matches the Rfam family "Eukaryotic large subunit ribosomal RNA", at positions 1 to 217 of the family's 3401-position model. Lineage: Eukaryota; Fungi; Basidiomycota; Tremellomycetes; Tremellales; Bulleribasidiaceae. The record is from RNAcentral.